Molecule: long non-coding RNA, 3366 nt
Organism: Lagenorhynchus albirostris (white-beaked dolphin)
Lineage: Eukaryota; Metazoa; Chordata; Mammalia; Artiodactyla; Delphinidae
Exons: 4
Source: RefSeq, a predicted model, not a curated record
GUUAUUGGGAGUGCUGUGGACAUUCAGGCUUUCUGGCCCUGGAGAUCUAGGUUUGAAGUUCAGCUCUGCCACUGACUGCAUGACCUGGGUAUGCGGGCCUCUCACUGUGUGGCCUCUCCCGUUGUGGAGCACAGGCUCCGGACACGCAGGCUCAGUGGCCAUGGCUCACAGGCCUAGCUGCUCCGCGGCAUGUAGGAUCUUCCUGGACCGGGGCACGAACCCAUGUCUCCUGCAUCGGCAGGCGGACUCUCAACAACUGCGCCACCAGGGAAGCCCUGUUACAGAUUUUUUUUUUAAAGUAAUCAUAUAUCCCACAACAUCGUGAAGCACUUGCAACCUGGGAUCAAGUGCUGGGAGAGAGUAAAUCACACAAUAAAUAUGAUUUGAUGUAAAGAGUGAGUCAAGAAAUAUCUAGAGCAAGGGACUUGGCCAUGGGAGCUACACUGGCUUAAAGGAGGUCCAUGAGAGACAAGCCAUGUGGCUGACAGGGUCUUAGUGCUCCAGCCAGGUGUCAAGCCUGAGCAUCGUAGGUGGAAGAGCCGAGUUCACGACAUUGGACCACCAGAGAUUUCCUGGGCCCACAUGAUAUCAAUCAGUGAGAGCUCUCCCAGAGAUCUCCAUCUCAGCGCUAAGACCCAGCUACACACAAUGGUCAGCAAGCUCCAGAGCUGGACGCCCCAUGCCAAGCAACUAGCAAGAAAGGAACACAAGCCCACCCAUUAGCAGAGAGGGUGCCUAAAAUCGUAAGUUCACAGGCAGCCCAAAACACACCACUGGACUCAGUCCUGCCCACCAUAAAGACAACAUCCAGCCUCAUUCACCAGAACACAGGCACCAGGCCCCUCCACCAGGAAGCCUACACAAGCCACUGAACCAACCUUACUCACUAGGGGCAGACACCAAAAACUUCGGGAACUAUGAACCUUCAGACUGCAAAAAGGGGAUCCCAAACACAGUAAGUGAAGCAAAAUGAGAAGACAGAGAAACACAAAGCAGAUGAAGAAGCAAGGUUAAAAACCCACCAGACCAAACAUAUGAAGAGGAAAUAGGCAGUCUACCUGAAAAGAAUUCAGAGUAAUGAUAGUAAAGAUGAUCCAAAAUCUUGGAAACAGAAUGGAGAAUAUACAAGAUAGGUUUAACAAGGACCUAAAAGAACUAAAGAACAAAUAAACAAUGAUGAACAACACAAUAAAGAAAUUAAAAAUUCUCUAGAAGGAAUCAAUAGCAGAAUAAAUAAGGCAGAAGAAUGGAGAAGUGACCUGGAAGAUAAAAUAAUGGAAAUAACUACCACAGAGAAGAAUAAAGAAAAAGGAAAGAAAAAAAUUGAGGACAGACUCAGAGACCUCUGAGACAACAUUAAAUGGAAAAAUGUUCAAAUUAUAGGGGUCCCAGAAGAAGAGAAAAAUAAAGGCACUGAGAAAAUAUAUGAAGAGAUUAUAGUUGAAAACUUCCCUAAUAUGGGAAAGGAAAUAGUCAAUCAAGUCCAGGAAGUGCAGAGUCGCAUACAGGAUAAAUCCAAGGAGAAACAUGCCAAGACACAUAUUAAUCAAACUACAAAAAUUAAAUACAAAGAAAAAAUACUGAAAGCAGCAAAGGAAAAGCAACAAAUAACAUACACAGGAAUCCCCAUAAGGUUAACAGCUGAUCUUUCAGCAGAAACUCUGUAAGCCAUAAGGGACUGGCAGGACAUAUUUAAAAUGAUGAAGCAGAAAAACCUACAACCAAGAUUACUCUACCCAGCAAGGAUCUCAUUCAGAUUUGACGGAGAAAUUAAACCUUUACAGACAAGCAAAACUUAAAAGAAUUCAGCACCACCAAGCAGAUUUAAUUUUUGUAACACAAUAUCUAUGAACGAAAAGAGAAAUUGGAAACUUGCUUAAAUAAAAAAGUCAUGAUGAACCUUGUUAUUAAUAUUUUUGGCUAAAGAUAUUUAGAAAAAUAAAUGAGGUAAGGGAAAGCAUAGAGAGUCCUCUUAUUUAUUAAAAAAUAUUACUGAGUUAGAAUGAGUACAUAACCAUGAAACAUAGGUAACAGUAUCUCUGAAUGUGUUUGUAUUUUUUAAAUUAACAUACAUUAAAAUUUAUUCUUUGUUGUUUUUGACAUGAAAUUUUAUGAGCUUUAACAUAUGCAUAGCUUCAUAUAACUACUAUCACAAUCACAGGGUAUGCAAUUGUUUUAUUACUCCAUGCUAUAUAUUAGAUCCCCAGAACUUAUUCCUCUUAUAACUGAAGUUUGUACCCUUUGACCAAAAUCUCCUCAUCACCAGCCCUCACCCCGCCCCUGGAAUUCACCAAUCUACUCCAUUUCUAUAAGUUCAGAUUUUUUAAAUUCCACAUAUUAGUGAGAUACUACAGUAUUUGUCUUCCUCUGUCUGAUUUGUCUUCCUCUAUAAUGCCCUCAAGUUUCAACCAUGUCUUUGCAAAUGGUAUAAGGAAGUUUCUUUUUGUUUCUACUGUGCUGAGUUUUUUGUUUUUAUAAAUGGAUGUUGAAUUUUGGCAAAUGCUUUCCUUGUAUCAGUUGAUAUGACCUAUGGGGUUUUUUUUGUUGUUGUUGUUAGUCUGCAAGUACAAUUGAUUACAUUGAAUAAUUUUCAAAUAUUUAACCAAUCAUGUAUUUCCAGGAUAAAUUGCACUUGGUUGUGGUGUUAUUCCUUUUACAUGUUUCUGAAUUUGAUGCACACUAGUAUUAGGCUGAAAAUUAUUUGAAUCUAUGUUCACAAAGAGUAUUUGUCUGUAGUUCUCUUUUCUUGUGCUAUCUUUGUGGGGUUUUGACAGCAAGAUAAUUCUGACCUCAUAAAAUGAAUUGUAAAGUAUUCUCUCCUAUUAUCUGGGAGAGAUUGUCUGGCCUUGGUGUCAUAUCUUACUUAAAAUGUUUUAUGAAAUUUUCCAGUGAAACUAUUUGGGAAUACAAACCAUCUUGUUUAGAAGGUUUUGAACUACAAAUUAAAAUUUCUUGGGACUUCCCUGGUGGCGCAGUGGUUAAGAAUCCACCUGCCAAUGCAGGGGACAGAGUUUCGAGCCCUGGUCUGGAAAGAUCCCACAUGCUGCGGAGCAACUAAGCCUGUGCUCCACAACUACUGAGCCUGUACUCUAGAGCCCGCAAGCCACAACUACUGAAGCCCGUGUGCCUAGAGCCCAUGCUCCGCAACAAGAGAAGCCACUGCGAUGAGAAGUCCGUGCACUGCAACAAAUAGUAGCCCCUGCUCGCUGCAACUAGAGAAAGCCUGUGCCCAGCAACAAAUAAAUAAAUAAUUUUAUUUAAAAUUUCUUUAAUUAUUACUAUUCAGUUUACAUAUUUCUUCAUGUGUGAAUUUUCAUACCUUGGGACUUUCAAAGAAAUGCUUUAUUUUGUGUAAGUUUUUGGAUU